GAGGGUAUAGCUCAAUUUGUAGAGCAUGUGCUUAGCAUGUACAAUGUCCUGGGUUCAAUCCCCAGUAUCUCCA
RNAcentral lists this transfer RNA (73 nucleotides) under Camelus bactrianus (Bactrian camel). It matches the Rfam family "tRNA". From Rfam's summary of the family: Transfer RNA (tRNA) molecules are approximately 80 nucleotides in length. Their secondary structure includes four short double-helical elements and three loops (D, anti-codon, and T loops). Further hydrogen bonds mediate the characteristic L-shaped molecular structure. tRNAs have two regions of fundamental functional importance: the anti-codon, which is responsible for specific mRNA codon recognition, and the 3' end, to which the tRNAs corresponding amino acid is attached (by aminoacyl-tRNA synthetases). tRNAs cope with the degeneracy of the genetic code in two manners: having more than one tRNA (with a specific anti-codon) for a particular amino acid; and 'wobble' base-pairing, i.e. permitting non-standard base-pairing at the 3rd anti-codon position. Lineage: Eukaryota; Metazoa; Chordata; Mammalia; Artiodactyla; Camelidae. The record is from Rfam by way of RNAcentral. RNAcentral also lists the same sequence under 2 other names.